UAGUCAUAUGCUUGUCUCAGAGAUUAAGCCAUGCAUGUCUAAGCACAAGCCGAUUAAUGGUGAAGCCGCGAAUGGCUCAUUACAACAGCCAUAGUUUCUUAGAUCUUACUUUUCUACUUGGAUAACUGUGGUAAUUCUAGAGCUAAUACACGCAAACAAGCUCAGACCUUACGGAAUGAGCGCAUUUAUUAGAACAAAAACCAAUCGGGCUUCGGUCCGUCAUUUGGUGAAUCUGAAUAACUUUGCUGAUCGCACGGUCUUCGUACCGGCGACAUAUCUUUCAAAUGUCUGCCUUAUCAACUUUCGAUGGUAGUUUAUGCGCCUACCAUGGUUGUAACGGGUAACGGAGAAUAAGGGUUCGACUCCGGAGAGGGAGCCUGAGAAACGGCUACCACAUCCAAGGAAGGCAGCAGGCACGCAAAUUACCCACUCCCGGCACGGGGAGGUAGUGACGAAAAAUAACGAGACGGCUCGCUAUGCGGUCCGUCAUCGGAAUGGGUACAAUUUAAAUCCUUUAACGAGGAUCUAUU
RNAcentral lists this ribosomal RNA (530 nucleotides) under uncultured eukaryote. Its description in RNAcentral is "SSU rRNA". It matches the Rfam family "Eukaryotic small subunit ribosomal RNA", at positions 21 to 549 of the family's 1831-position model. The record is from RNAcentral.